RNAcentral lists this ribosomal RNA (301 nucleotides) under uncultured bacterium. RNAcentral's name for it is "partial 16S ribosomal RNA". It matches the Rfam family "Bacterial small subunit ribosomal RNA", at positions 509 to 807 of the family's 1533-position model. The record is from RNAcentral.
CAGCCGCCGCGGGAAUACGAAGGGUGCAAGCGUUACUCGGAAUUACUGGGCGUAAAGCGUGCGUAGGUGGUGGUUUAAGUCCGUUGUGAAAGCCCUGGGCUCAACCUGGGAAUUGCAGUGGAUACUGGAUCACUAGAGUGUGGUAGAGGAUAGUGGAAUUUCCGGUGUAGCAGUGAAAUGCGUAGAGAUCGGAAGGAACAUCUGUGGCGAAGGCGACUAUCUGGGCCAACACUGACACUGAGGCACGAAAGCGUGGGGAGCAAACAGGAUUAGAUACCCCAGUAGUCCCUGUCUCUUAUAC